This 439-nucleotide ribosomal RNA is filed under the name uncultured bacterium. Its description in RNAcentral is "partial 16S ribosomal RNA". It matches the Rfam family "Bacterial small subunit ribosomal RNA", at positions 339 to 795 of the family's 1533-position model. The record is from RNAcentral.
CUACGGGCUGCACCAGUGAGGAAUAUUGCACAAUGGGGGGAACCCUGAUGCAGCAACGCCGCGUGGAGGAUGACGCAUUUCGGUGUGUAAAUUCCUUUUAUAUGUCAAGAAAAUGACGGUAGCAUAUGAAUAAGCACCGGCUAACUCCGUGCCAGCAGCCGCGGUAAUACGGAGGGUGCAAGCGUUACUCGGAAUCACUGGGCGUAAAGGACGCGUAGGCGGGUUGGAAAGUCAGGUGUGAAAUCCUACAGCUUAACUGUAGAACGGCACUGGAAACUUCUAAUCUAGAGUAUGGGAGGGGGAGAUGGAAUUAGUGGUGUAGGGGUAAAAUCCGUAGAUAUCACUAGGAAUACCUAAAGCGAAGGCGAUCUCCUGGAACAUUCCUGACGCUAAGGCGUGAAAGCGUGGGGAGCAAACAGGAUUAGAUACCCGAGUAGUC